RNAcentral lists this ribosomal RNA (426 nucleotides) under uncultured Lysinibacillus sp. RNAcentral describes it as "bacterial SSU rRNA". It matches the Rfam family "Bacterial small subunit ribosomal RNA", at positions 356 to 774 of the family's 1533-position model. Lineage: Bacteria; Bacillati; Bacillota; Bacilli; Caryophanales; Bacillaceae. The record is from RNAcentral.
AGGGAAUCUUCCACAAUGGGCGAAAGCCUGAUGGAGCAACGCCGCGUGAGUGAAGAAGGAUUUCGGUUCGUAAAACUCUGUUGUAAGGGAAGAACAAGUACAGUAGUAACUGGCUGUACCUUGACGGUACCUUAUUAGAAAGCCACGGCUAACUACGUGCCAGCAGCCGCGGUAAUACGUAGGUGGCAAGCGUUGUCCGGAAUUAUUGGGCGUAAAGCGCGCGCAGGUGGUUUCUUAAGUCUGAUGUGAAAGCCCACGGCUUAACCGUGGAGGGUCAUUGGAAACUGGGAGACUUGAGUGCAGAAGAGGAAAGUGGAAUUCCAAGUGUAGCGAUGAAAUGCGUAGAUAUUAGGAGGAACACCGGUGGCGAAGGCGGCUUGCUGGACAAAUACUGACGCUGAGGUGCGAAAGCGUGGGGAGCAAACA